CAUGCAAGUCGAGCGGCAGCGCGGUCUUCGGACUGGCGGCGAGCGGCGGACGGCUGUAUAACGCGUGGGAAUGUACCCCAAAGUGAGGAAUAACUGCCCGAAAGGGUAGCUAAUGCCGCAUAUGGUCUUCGGAUUAAAGCCUUCGGGCGCUUUGGGAACAGCCUGCGUAUGAUUAGAUAGUUGGUAAGGUAAUGGCUUACCAAGUCUACGAUCAUUAACUGGUCUGAGAGGAUGAUCAGUCAGACUGGAACUGAGAUACGGUCCAGACUCCUACGGGAGGCAGCAGUAAGGAAUCUUCCACAAUGGGCGAAAGCCCGAUGGAGCAACGCCGCGUGCAGGAUGAAGGCCUUCGGGUCGUAAACUGCUUUUAUGGGUGAAUAAUAUGAAUGUAACCCUUGAAUAAGCACCGGCUAACUACGUGCCAGCAGCCGCGGUCAUACGUAGGGUGCAAGCAUUAUCCGGAGUGACUGGGCGUAAAGAGUUGCGUAGGUGGUUUGUCUGGUGAAUAGUGAAAUCUGGUGGCUCAACCACACAGACUAUUGUUCAAACUGGCAGACUCGAGAAUAGCAGAGGUAACUGGAAUUUCUAGUGUAGGAGUGAAAUCCGUAGAUAUUAGAAGGAACACCAAUGGCGUAGGCAGGUUACUGGGCUAUUUCUGACACUGAGGCACGAAAGCGUGGGGAGCGAACCGGAUUAGAUACCCGGGUAGUCCAUGCUGUAAACUAUGGAUACUAGUUGUUAGGGGUAUCGACCCCCUUAGUAACGAAGCUAACGCGUUAAGUAUCCCGCCUGUGGAGUACGGUCGCAAGACUAAAACAUAAAGGAAUUGACGGGGACCCGCACAAGCGGUGGAGCGUGUUCUUUAAUUCGAAGGUAAGCGAUAAACCUUACCAGGCUUUGACAUCCCGAUAACCGUUCUUUGAAAGAAGAACUUCAUUUAGUUGGAUCGGUGACAGGUGAUGCAUGGCCGUCGUCAGCUCGUGUCGUGAGAUGUUAGGUUAAGUCCUUCAACGAGCGCAACCCUUGCAAGUAGUUGUAUUUUUCUACUUGGACUGCCCCGGUAACGGGGAGGAAGGAGGGGAUGAUGUCAGGUCAGUAUUUCCCUUAUAGCCUGGGCUAGAAACGCGCUACAAUGGCUGGUACAAUGCGCAGCGAAACCGCGAGGUGAAGCAAAUCGCAUCGAAACCAGUCCCAGUUCGGAUUGCAGGCUGAAACUCGCCUUCAUGAAGU
This 1230-nucleotide ribosomal RNA is filed under the name uncultured Candidatus Saccharibacteria bacterium. RNAcentral's name for it is "bacterial SSU rRNA". It matches the Rfam family "Bacterial small subunit ribosomal RNA", at positions 54 to 1326 of the family's 1533-position model. Lineage: Bacteria; Candidatus Saccharimonadota. The record is from RNAcentral.